RNAcentral lists this ribosomal RNA (471 nucleotides) under uncultured organism. Its description in RNAcentral is "partial 16S ribosomal RNA". It matches the Rfam family "Bacterial small subunit ribosomal RNA", at positions 333 to 796 of the family's 1533-position model. The record is from RNAcentral.
ACACUCCUACGGGAGGCAGCAGUGGGGAAUUUUGGACAAUGAGCGAAAGCCUGAUCCAGCAAUGCCGCGUGAGUGAAGAAGGCCUUCGGGUUGUAAAGCUCUUUUGUCAGGGAAGAAACGGUGAGAGCUAAUAUCUUUUGCUAAUGACGGUACCUGAAGAAUAAGCACCGGCUAACUACGUGCCAGCAGCCGCGGUAAUACGUAGGGUGCAAGCGUUAAUCGGAAUUACUGGGCGUAAAGCGUGCGCAGGCGGUUUUGUAAGUCUGAUGUGAAAUCCCCGGGCUCAACCUGGGAAUUGCAUGGGAGACUGCAAGGCUAGAAUCUGGCAGAGGGGGGUAGAAUUCCACGUGUAGCAGUGAAAUGCGUAGAUAUGUGGAGGAACACCGAUGGCGAAGGCAGCCCCCUGGGUCAAGAUUGACGCUCAUGCACGAAAGCGUGGGGAGCAAACAGGAUUAGAUACCCCAGUAGUCC